This 378-nucleotide long non-coding RNA is filed under the name Sorghum bicolor (sorghum). RNAcentral describes it as "long non-coding RNA (SBIC_LNC009869)". Lineage: Eukaryota; Viridiplantae; Streptophyta; Magnoliopsida; Poales; Poaceae. The record is from RNAcentral.
CUGGUGGAUGUAGGCACAACUCUCCCCAUCUUCCUAUCUCUUGCGUUCUUCAUCUCCCUCACUCUUUCAUCUCUCUUUCCACUUUGUAGAUGUAGAGCCAGCACGGACGAUUGCGGCAGGCAAGAGUGUGGAGGCGGCCGAUCCUUCUACGGUGACGACUGGUCCAGAUUCAAUCACGAUAGAUCCAGAUCCAGCCAUGGCUGGUCCAAAUCCGACAACGGGAGCCUCAAGCUUGAUGCGAUAGCGUGGACGCGACAACAGCGAGCUCGCUUGGUCUAUUUUUCUAUUUUUAGUUCAUUUAAUUGAGGGUGGUAGCAUAAGAUGCCUGACUUGUUAAUCUAUUAAUCGAGGUGGACAAAACAACAGCCUCCAUUGGUC